This 253-nucleotide ribosomal RNA is filed under the name uncultured bacterium. RNAcentral describes it as "partial 16S ribosomal RNA". It matches the Rfam family "Bacterial small subunit ribosomal RNA", at positions 524 to 776 of the family's 1533-position model. The record is from RNAcentral.
UACGUAGGGGGCAAGCGUUGUCCGGAUUUAUUGGGCGUAAAGAGCGUGUAGGCGGCUUGGUAGGUCCGCUGUGAAAACUCGAGGCUCAACCUCGAGAUGUCGGCGGAAACCACUUGGCUAGAGUCCGGAAGAGGAGAGUGGAAUUCCCGGUGUAGCGGUGAAAUGCGCAGAUAUCGGGAAGAACACCUAUGGCGAAGGCAGCUCUCUGGGACGGUACUGACGCUGAGACGCGAAAGCGUGGGGAGCGAGCAGG